GUGCUCUCAGAUGAGUAAAUCUGAAGCCACAGAAAACUGAGGCCUUGUGGCCAAGUCAUCGUGGUUUUCACAUUUCUGAAAAUUUGAGCCACUGUCAAACUCCUGGCUGCAUGGAAUCAAACCCCUUUAUUUCCCUCUGCUGGCACCCUCACCGUCUCCAGGAAGAUCUGCCGAAUUACUGCUUCAGGUGUAUAUCUCCCCAUCCCCCAUGUUCCCAAACCUUUCUCUUCUUCCAUGUAAGACUCUCCCUGAGCCCCACUUUCCAUGUCACCUUGGAAGUCUGAUGUUGAUGCCCUCUUACCACUAUAUUUUUCAGCAACACAAAUAACUCACUCUGUGCUGGUCUCACUGCCCAACACAUUUCUCAAAGGCCACAGCAGUCAAGAAAGUAGAUUACCUCGUUGGAAGAUACUGAGACCAUUGCAGAGGGCAACUCAGGAUCAGUGUACCUUGGGUACAUAGAUAUAUGUCAUUACUCUGAGAAUCAAAUACCAGGAAGUACAGUAUCGUUGUCAUCAUCACUACUGGCUAAUUGCUUUUCCCAUACCUGCCAGCCCAGAGUCACACAUUGCUCCAGGAGAGGUGGCAUUUUGGUUCAGUUGCUUCCCUGGUUCAGACAGGCCUGUCCAGAGAGAAGGGAUAUGGCCUUUCUUCUACCACAUAAUUCUGCACACAAUUCCUGCUCGAGAGAUGAUCCCAACUGUGCACUCUCCAUCUUAUUACUCUUCAGCAGUGACUAACGCUCAAGAACUCAGCCCUUGUCUUUGGAUUCCAAGGGUGUAAUGUCAUUUGGAAUGUUCCUUUCUGCUGACUUGUUCUCCACCUUUCUUUU
Non-coding RNA from Ceratotherium simum simum (southern white rhinoceros), 832 nucleotides. The record is from RefSeq and is a predicted model, not a curated record. Lineage: Eukaryota; Metazoa; Chordata; Mammalia; Perissodactyla; Rhinocerotidae.